CUGCGAACUAUUCUCGCCUGUUCAACCUUUCCGUGGUCAGAUCGGGGCUAGUCGUUCGCUAGAGUAACACCAACACGAGAGCUAGCAGACCUGACUUCCCUGUCCCGUCUGUUCUCACCCUGCACCCGUUGGUUACAAUC
Labrus bergylta (ballan wrasse) is the source of this 140-nucleotide small nucleolar RNA. Its record names the gene SNORA72. It matches the Rfam family "Small nucleolar RNA SNORA72". From Rfam's summary of the family: U72 is a member of the H/ACA class of snoRNAs. The snoRNA gene is located in intron 4 of the ribosomal L30 protein gene in human, mouse and chicken. NCBI's taxonomy places the organism in Eukaryota, Metazoa, Chordata, Actinopteri, Labriformes, Labridae. The record is from Ensembl.